CACCAUCAACUUUCAUAUUCCU
Molecule: non-coding RNA, 22 nt
Filed under: Arabidopsis thaliana (thale cress)
Lineage: Eukaryota; Viridiplantae; Streptophyta; Magnoliopsida; Brassicales; Brassicaceae
Source: RNAcentral